CUUUUAAAGGAUAGAAGUAAUCCACUGGUUUUAGCGACCAUCAACCCU
RNAcentral lists this transfer RNA (48 nucleotides) under Deirochelys reticularia. Its description in RNAcentral is "partial tRNA-Leu". Lineage: Eukaryota; Metazoa; Chordata; Testudines; Emydidae. The record is from RNAcentral.